CGUCGGGUUUCCCUUCCGCCGCUUGUGGUGGCUCCUGGCAGUGAGUGUCACACUGGGAGGAGCACGACCAUACCCUCCAACAACUGUUCUUCACCGGGAAGCAGUAGCUCUAUAGGAGUUUUGAUCAGUGGAGCUGCGACAGCAGGCAAC
Molecule: long non-coding RNA, 150 nt
Organism: Zingiber officinale
Lineage: Eukaryota; Viridiplantae; Streptophyta; Magnoliopsida; Zingiberales; Zingiberaceae
Exons: 3
Source: RefSeq, a predicted model, not a curated record